GACACGUCUUUGCACUGCUUGCUGCUCUUGGGGUUGAAGUCACACAGCUGGGCCACCUUCUCCCACUCUGUGCCUGGGGUCUCCUCCUUGGAUUCCUUCACAAAAGCCUCCUCAGAUGCCCUGCAGGUGGAGAUAGGACAGAGCACACCUCUGAACUCC
Molecule: long non-coding RNA, 159 nt
Organism: Balaenoptera musculus (blue whale)
Lineage: Eukaryota; Metazoa; Chordata; Mammalia; Artiodactyla; Balaenopteridae
Exons: 3
Source: RefSeq, a predicted model, not a curated record